GAGGAGCCUAGCCGAGGGAAACGUCGUCCGGGCCAUGGGUCGCUGCCGAAGUUUGCUUUGGACGGCAUUAAAAACGAUGCCCUAGAGGUUAGUGUAACGAAAUUGGAAUUGAAUCACCUGAUUGAUGUAUGAUGCAGAGUUGGUCUUUGCAUUAUUGUCGUUUUGUACGAGAUGUGUCACAGGGAUCUUGUAUGUUUUCUUCUGAUCCCCUUGCCGUUCUGCUGUAGGGCGCCGCACCAGAAGAGCGGUCGCCGCUCGACGCUGAUGGGUACUGCGGGCGCGAGCACCGCGCUUGAGAGUGGCCUCGCCGGGGCGUCCAUGGUCUGACAUUGACACGCGCCCGAGGACUCUGUUGCCAGAGAGCCACGCGUCGGCUGUGUCUCUGCCUCCAGAUGCGAGAGAGCCGCCUCACCGCUGUUUCCCCUUCGCUUUCUUCUCUGCGGCCAAAUCACUCUCAGUUACGAGCGUGCUGAUAACGUGUUAAAGUAAACUGAUUGAGAAUGAAUCUCUGAAUUUCAUUGAUGAUGAUUGGGGUAUAUAUACCCUCUCAACAGUCGCCAAUUAAGGCGGUAAUUACAAAGAGACAUGUCCGUACGGGCACAUGCGUCCGCACGGAAGAGGAGAGGCGGUGGACACACACAACCGUCUA
RNAcentral lists this long non-coding RNA (649 nucleotides) under Triticum aestivum (bread wheat). RNAcentral's name for it is "long non-coding RNA (TAES_LNC011926)". The record is from RNAcentral. Lineage: Eukaryota; Viridiplantae; Streptophyta; Magnoliopsida; Poales; Poaceae.